GACGAACGCUGGCGGCGUGCUUAACACAUGCAAGUCGAACGAUGAAGCCGGAGCUUGCUCUGGUGAAUUAGUGGCGAACGGGUGAGUAACACGUGAGUAACCUGCCCUUGACUCUGGGAUAACUGCUAGAAAUGGUAGCUAAUACCGGCUACGACCCUCGGAGGCAUCUCCAGUGGGUGGAAAGAAUUUCGGUCAAGGAUGGACUCGAGGCCUAUCGGCUAGUUGGUGAGGUAAUGGCUCACCAAGGCGACGACGGGUAGCCGGCCUGGGAGGGUGACCGGCCACACGGGGACUGAGACACGGCCCAGACUCCUACGGGAGGCAGCAGUGGGGAAUAUUGCACAAUGGGCGCAAGCCUGAUGCAGCAACGCCGCGUGAGGGAUGACGGCCUUCGGGUUGUAAACCUCUUUUAGUAGGGAAGAAGCGAAAGUGACGGUACCUGCAGAAAAAGCACCGGCUAACUACGUGCCAGCAGCCGCCGUAA
This 484-nucleotide ribosomal RNA is filed under the name uncultured bacterium. RNAcentral's name for it is "partial 16S ribosomal RNA". It matches the Rfam family "Bacterial small subunit ribosomal RNA", at positions 28 to 523 of the family's 1533-position model. The record is from RNAcentral.